Molecule: ribosomal RNA, 554 nt
Filed under: uncultured bacterium
Lineage: Bacteria
Description: bacterial SSU rRNA
Rfam family: Bacterial small subunit ribosomal RNA
Source: RNAcentral
AAUAGAUACCCGGGUAGUCCACGCCGUAAACGAUGGAUGCUAGCUGUUAUGAGUAUCGGACCCUUGUAGUAGCGAAGCUAACGCGUUAAGCAUCCCGCCUGUGGAGUACGAGCGCAAGCUUAAAACAUAAAGGAAUUGACGGGGACCCGCACAAGCGGUGGAGCGUGUUGUUUAAUUCGAUGAUAAGCGAAGAACCUUACCAAGGCUUGACAUCCCUGGAAUUUCUCCGAAAGGAGGGAGUGCCUUCGGGAAUCAGGUGACAGGUGAUGCAUGGCCGUCGUCAGCUCGUGUCGUGAGAUGUUUGGUUAAGUCCAUCAACGAGCGCAACCCUUGUAAAUAGUUGAAUUUUUCUAUUUAGACUGCCUCGGUAACGGGGAGGAAGGAGGGGAUGAUGUCAGGUCAGUAUUUCCCUUACGCCUUGGGCUACAAACACGCUACAAUGGCCGGUACAAAGGGCAGCCAACCCGCGAGGGGGAGCAAAUCCCAUCAAAACCGGUCUCAGUUCGGAUAGCAGGCUGAAAUUCGCCUGCUUGAAGCCGGAAUCGCUAGGUAAC